GUGAUCCGGUGGUUCUGUAUGGAAGGGCCAUCGCUCAACGGAUAAAAGGUACUCCGGGGAUAACAGGCUGAUUCCGCCCAAGAGUUCAUAUCGACGGCGGAGUUUGGCACCUCGAUGUCGGCUCAUCACAUCCUGGGGCUGUAGUCGGUCCCAAGGGUAUGGCUGUUCGCCAUUUAAAGUGGUACGUGAGCUGGGUUUAAAACGUCGUGAGACAGUUUGGUCCCUAUCUGCAGUGGGCGUUGGAAGUUUGACGGGGGCUGCUCCUAGUACGAGAGGACCGGAGUGGACGAACCUCUGGUGUACCGGUUGUAACGCCAGUUGCAUAGCCGGGUAGCUAAGUUCGGAAGAGAUAAGCGCUGAAAGCAUCUAAGCGCGAAACUCGCCUGAAGAUGAGACUUCCCUUGCGGUUUAACCGCACUAAAGAGUCGUUCGAGACCAGGACGUUGAUAGGUGGGGUGUGGAAGCGCGGUAACGCGUGAAGCUAACCCAUACUAAUUGCUCGUGAGGCUUGACUCU
This 516-nucleotide ribosomal RNA is filed under the name Neisseria meningitidis. Its description in RNAcentral is "partial 23S ribosomal RNA". It matches the Rfam family "Bacterial large subunit ribosomal RNA", at positions 2415 to 2925 of the family's 2925-position model. Lineage: Bacteria; Pseudomonadati; Pseudomonadota; Betaproteobacteria; Neisseriales; Neisseriaceae. The record is from RNAcentral.